GAAUGAUGAAGAAGCUUGCUUCUUCUGAUUUUAGCGGCGGACGGGUGAGUAACACGUGGGCAACCUACCUUGUAGAUUGGGAUAACUCCGGGAAACCGGGGCUAAUACCGAAUAAUCCAUUUUGCUUCAUGGCGAGAUGUUGAAAGACGGUUUCGGCUGUCACUACAAGAUGGGCCCGCGGCGCAUUAGCUAGUUGGUAGGGUAAUGGCCUACCAAGGCGACGAUGCGUAGCCGACCUGAGAGGGUGAUCGGCCACACUGGGACUGAGACACGGCCCAGACUCCUACGGGAGGCAGCAGUAGGGAAUCUUCCGCAAUGGACGAAAGUCUGACGGAGCAACGCCGCGUGAGUGAAGAAGGUUUUCGGAUCGUAAAACUCUGUUGUAAGGGAAGAACACGUACGAGAGUAACUGCUCGUACCUUGACGGUACCUUAUUAGAAAGCCACGGCUAACUACGUG
This 459-nucleotide ribosomal RNA is filed under the name uncultured bacterium. Its description in RNAcentral is "bacterial SSU rRNA". It matches the Rfam family "Bacterial small subunit ribosomal RNA", at positions 68 to 507 of the family's 1533-position model. The record is from RNAcentral.